Molecule: unclassified non-coding RNA, 400 nt
Filed under: uncultured fungus
Lineage: Eukaryota; Fungi
Description: sequence contains ITS1
Source: RNAcentral
GGACGAAAUCCUCGGAGGAACUGCCUGAUGGGCACCCAGAACGCCUGGGAGGGCUCGGGCGGACGCGACUGGGGACGAGUUCGCGACGAAUCCGCCGACCUGCUCAACAACCCGUCGCCUGAAAGUGCUGAAGCACUGCUCCCUGCGCUGAGCGACGCGCUCGAAUGGUUGGGAGACGGAGACGACGUCCCGGACGAAAGCGAACCGCAGUCGGAACCGACGCUGACGCCCCUCCCCGCAGGGCCCUCGUGGCGCCCGCCCGUGGGAGCACGCCGCCCCGCGGGCCGCCAAGGCGGCGUAGGGGGAGGCGGCGGGGGCCGGCGGGGCGGUGGCGCGGGCGGAUCGCGUGCGACUAGCGGCCGUUCGCGAGCGCGUGCCGCGAGCGUCGGCGGACGCGUCC